UACAGAGGGUGCAAACGUUGUUCGGAAUUACUGGGCGUAAAGCGCGUGUAGGCGGCUAAGUAGGUCGGGCGUGAAAUCCCACGGCUCAACCAUGGAAGUGCAUUCGAAACUGCAGAGCUAGAGUCCUGGAGAGGAAGGUGGAAUGCUUGGUGUAGAGGUGAAAUUCGUAGAUAUCAAGCGGAACACCGGUGGCGAAGGCGGCCUUCUGGACAGUGACUGACGCUGAGACGCGAAAGCGUGGGGAGCAAACAGG
This 253-nucleotide ribosomal RNA is filed under the name uncultured bacterium. RNAcentral describes it as "partial 16S ribosomal RNA". It matches the Rfam family "Bacterial small subunit ribosomal RNA", at positions 524 to 776 of the family's 1533-position model. The record is from RNAcentral.